UGAGGAAUAUUGGUCAAUGGGCGAGAGCCUGAACCAGCCAAGUAGCGUGCAGGAUGACGGCCUUCCGGGUUGUAAACUGCUUUUAGUUGGGAAUAAAAAAAGGGACUUGUCCCUUCUUGUAUGUACCUUCAGAAAAAGGACCGGCUAAUUCCGUGCCAGCAGUCGCGGUAAUACGGAAGGUCCAGGCGUUAUCCGGAUUUAUUGGGUUUAAAGGGAGCGUAGGCGGAUUGUUAAGUCAGCGGUUAAAGGGUGUGGCUCAACCAUGCAUUGCCGUUGAAACUGGCGAUCUUGAGUGCAGACAGGGAUGCCGGAAUUCGUGGUGUAGCGGUGAAAUGCUUAGAUAUCACGAAGAACUCCGAUCGCGAAGGCAGGUGUCCGGGCUGCAACUGACGCUGAGGCUCGAAAGUGUGGGUAUCAAACAGGAUUAGAUACCCUGGUAGUCCACACAGUAAACGAUGUAUACUCGCGGUUUGCGAUAGACAGUAAGCCGCCAAGCGAAAGCAUUAAGUAUACCACCUGGGGAGUACGCCGGCAACGGU
Molecule: ribosomal RNA, 539 nt
Filed under: uncultured bacterium
Lineage: Bacteria
Description: bacterial SSU rRNA
Rfam family: Bacterial small subunit ribosomal RNA
Source: RNAcentral